UACUCUUAAAGUAAUUAUACAAUACACUUUUUUGUUGGGGCGACAAGAAAGCAAUAUAACCUUUCUAUUGACACUAAAAGUGGUAUUAGAUCUGACGAUAUUAUUAUGAAUGACUAAACUACCUGAGGGAUAACAGCAUAAUGAUAAAUAUUAGUUUGUGACCUCGAUGUUGGACUAGGGACUAGUAC
Molecule: ribosomal RNA, 188 nt
Filed under: Physella acuta
Lineage: Eukaryota; Metazoa; Mollusca; Gastropoda; Physidae
Description: partial 16S ribosomal RNA
Source: RNAcentral